ACAGCAGCACUUUGAUGAUUACAGCUCCCAGGUUUUGCAUGGUCAGUUGGUGACUUGGUGGGGAGGUUCAUGACUGAUUUAAAAAUGCUGUUUUUUUACUGAGUAAACAGAAGUCAUCUGGGGGGCAGGGAGAGGCAAGACAGCAGCAGAACCGCAGGCAGCUGUUUCCAUGUGCAGCCACGGUGAUCACUUAGACCUGUAGAGCAACAAGAACAACAAAUACAUUUGCCUAUCAUGGUCAUGGUUCUUGGGAACACCUUGACAGGCUUACUUAGCCCUCAGCCAGGUUUCCUCCAAGACCAGCAAUCCCAAACCAGAGGAGCUAUAUGGACCUCUACACACUGAUAAAAUAUGCUAUUGUAAUAGUUGUAGUUCUUAGUUAGGAAACUUAGUAAAAGUCUGUGAUUAAGAGGUAAGCUGUGCAGUAGUCUGAGAUCUGAACAGUCUCAGGCUGUGGUUGUAAUGAUUCUGGAUCUUUUCCCUCCAGAUACUGUGCCUGAGUCCACCUCUAACAGUAAAAUUCAUAAACAAAAUUCUUGUCCAGAAAGAACUAUGAGAUAAAAUAGGUUUUGCUGUGGUCAACUUAGUACUCAAAAGCUACAUAUCUGCCACCAAGGGGUGGCUGGAAUUGGAUUCCCUUUGUAGAGAGUUAUAUUUUUUAACUCCUCAAUAAUGUGUUGCACUGACCUUGAUAGACCUGAUUUUGCAAUCAGCUGUCAAGUAAUUAUUUUUGGUCACUGUUAACCUUGAUUAGAUUAGAGACACCAAGCUACUGUCUUCACUUGCUUAGCUCUUUGGUGACUUUUGGUAGUCUCCUGUGUUGGAGAUUACAAAGCUUUCCGGGUGUUCGCUUCAAAUACUUCUCAGGUUUGUCUUAUGAGUGAUGGUCAAUUGAUUUGAGCUUGAUGAGGUGAGACUUGCAACACUGAGCAUGAUGAGGUGAGACUGGAACAAGUGAGAAUUCAAACAGUUUGCAGAAAUGCUAUCAUCUGUCUUCACACUCUUCUUGUUUCUGGCUCGAAUUGAUUUAUUUCUCACUUAUUCUUUAUACUGAGGGCAUGGAGAAUUCAUCUUCCUGCUAAUCAGGUGAGCUGUCUAAGUAUUGCACUUUUCUCAGUUU
RNAcentral lists this long non-coding RNA (1120 nucleotides) under Anas platyrhynchos platyrhynchos (common mallard). RNAcentral's name for it is "lncRNA (ENSAPLG00000022869.1)". Lineage: Eukaryota; Metazoa; Chordata; Aves; Anseriformes; Anatidae. The record is from RNAcentral.